This 6182-nucleotide long non-coding RNA is filed under the name Linum usitatissimum (flax). RNAcentral's name for it is "long non-coding RNA (LUSI_LNC003469)". Lineage: Eukaryota; Viridiplantae; Streptophyta; Magnoliopsida; Malpighiales; Linaceae. The record is from RNAcentral.
UCAUCAUCAGCCAAAAUAACCUUUGCACCCUGACGAUCCACAUAAACAUUUCUUCCUUCCAUGUGAUGCACUACUAUUGCCACCAUCACGAGACUGGGAUAUCCCAUAAUCAAAGGUCAACUCCGUCAUUGGCGGAAUAUGUCUCAUUGCAAAGAAAGCGAUAUUGAUAUGAGUUUAUUGAUAUGAGUUUCUAUUGAUAUGAGUUUCAUUGUUGUUCUCGUACAUAACUGGCUGCCAGAAUGUGUUGGGCUCACAACUGUGAUUCAUAAACCGAGCUACAUUUCCAACUUCUUUUUGCACUUAUGACGAGAGGAUAUGGAAUAUCAUACUGUUCAUUAAUGUCAUUAAGAUCCUCUUCUAUCAACCCAGGUUCACAAUUCCACCUGAACGAGUCAUAUACGCGGGUUGAAUCAAAGACAUAGUCAUCUCCGUGACUUUCUUCUCCAUUUUGUGCUGAUCUAACAUUUUCCGUCGCUUCACCGGCAUAUACACAUAUAAAUCCACCAGCACGAAUGGGUUCCCAUGACCUUAAACCCAGCCUUUACCCUUUGUUUUGAAAACUUCAAGGUGAAGUUUCAAACCUGUUUGAGACACACGGUUUUUGCAAUUAGCAAUGCAUGCACAUGUAGAGCCACAUUCAUAGACCAAUGGCUUCCUGCUAACAAGAGUCCCGUUACCGAUAUAUGGACUCAAGUUGCCAUUUAAUCUCAUGCAAGAGCAGUUUCCGUCAUUAGCUUGGCAUGCCUUACGGCAGUUGCACCCUAAAUAAGGCUGGGAGAGUUUAAAUGACUUGGAGUACUUCACAGAAGCAAGAUAUGUGAAGUAAGCAGGCCCUCUGUCUUCGUCAACCUCAUUUACAAGUGACACAGGCAAACUUUCAGCCCCCGAAGUUAGGUCGGGAAGAAUCAACCCCAUUCUAAAAGAAACUCCCUCCUUCCAUUUCUCAAUUGAUUUCCAGAGAGAAAAGGCAUCAGGUUAAGCAAGCAUCCUAACAAGCUUGUACUUGAAUAUAUUGCAACCAGUAUUGGCCUUCUCCAUCCACGACUCCUUAAUCGUGUAAAGACCAUCAUACACAUAAACCUUUGACGCUAUAGUGUUGCCAUCUUUCACACCUCGGAUGACACGGACCUGGCUUCCCCUGCGUAGACUCCUCUCCAGCGCAAGAUUACCCCUCUCAAGUUUCUGAUCAGUUGCUCCCUUUUUGCUGAUGGAGUUACCUCCAUGGCCACUGUAGAUAAGAACAUCUGAAUCAUUUGCAGCAUUGUCAUAGUAGCCAGAUGAAACAAUGCUUGUAGCCAGUGGCUCCUCCUCUAAAUCACCUCUUACGAUCAUAUAAUCUAUGCCAGCCAUGGUCUGGGUAUGCAACCCAACCAAACACAUCUCCAUACGUAAAAAAAAGAUAUCACCAACCUCAACUCCAGGAACCACUCCCGUUCUCUUCCUAGAGUUCGUCCUUACAUUAUUGCUAUUCAAGAUGGCGCAACUUGGGGAAGCCUUGGCAGGUCGAUUGCUUCCCAUAAGUGUUGGUGUUUCGAAUCAAUCAUAAUUACAAAAUACCAUGAGCUAACCAUUUGGACAUAUUCAGAAUGGUUAAGAAACAGAGGAACAGGAUUGUCAUCAUCAUCCUUUAAGUAUUAAACAAAAUAAACUAAUUCUGUAGCUUUACGCAAAAUCCACUUCAUCGGAUCCAAACCAUCUAAUUUCUCUUUCCUAAUCUUGUAUGACUCGUUGUAAAUUUGAUUCAUAUUGUGACGAAUGUUGAACUUCUUCAAUACAUGAUCUUAUUCGGUUAUGUGUGAACCUCCACCAUAUCCCAAUUUUUUUUUUCCGCCUCAUCUGAUAACAGAUUGCUUUCCGUGCUGAUUUCAGUAAAAAAAAACUAAAGGAUGAUUGUGGUACCCCUUCAAUUUAUCAGGAUUCUUGAUGUCUCCAAAUCCGUCAAUAAAAAACUUUCACUCACAAUCUACCACCAUUGACCGCACAACAAGUCUGAAUGGGCAAUUACACUUAUUUGACUUCGUCGCUCGUUUUGACGGAUCUGAACCCUCAGACUUGCAAACAGGUCUACGUGAGCAAUACAGAUACACCCGACACUCCUUUUCCGAGUCAUUGCUUUUGUUGGACCCAUUCAUCAGAUGGAAAUUAAGUGUUAUAGAAAUCUGUUUUGCAGCUUGCGCCGCUUAACCGACAAUGUUGUACACAUCGUCGGAUAAGAACCAGUCAAAGUAAUCAAUUCCUUCACUAGAAUCAGCUCCCUACAAAAUAUGAACAUCGAAAUACAAACUACAUUAAUCAUUUAUCUACAUAUAACCUAUUGGUUGAGCGUUUCUAGACACUGGUCGAACACUUAUCGUAGUACUUAUGGCGAUAUCCCAUGCAUCCAACCGAUACUUCAAGUAUUCAAAUUAACGAACCGACCUAAACGAAAUUCAGAGAUUUAAUUAAAUUUGACAUAAAAUUAAAAAAAAAAGAAACUGGACGGACCGGUUUUCGGUCUAGUCAGACAGGCCAGACGAACCAGAUUUCCGUCAGGGUGGUCUGACCGGACGGAAUACCUGUCUGAGCUGGUGGUCCAGCCAAACAGACCGGACAGACUGGUGUUCCGUUCGGUCAGACCACCCAGACGAAAAUCUUGUCCGUCUGAGCUGUCUGACCGGUCGAAAACCGGUUCGUCCAGAUUUUUUUCACUGCUAAUUUUUUUAACUUUCGUACCUCAAAAUCUUGGGUCGUGGUUCGUCGGGAGCGUUUUCGAGCAAUUAAAACAUACUACAAGAGAGUUGUUUUAGUCAAGUUGUAAGUUUUUCAUUUUUUCAAGAUAGGACGUUUAAGUCUUUAUAUAAUGUAUGGCGUUGUCUAAUUCAAAAACUAAGACGUCGUUUAGUAACCCUUUUUUAAAACUGUUUCACUUUCGACAAUCGCGAAGUGAAAUCGUGUGGCAAAAGAGAUGGAUAGCUGCAAUUUUGAGUAGCGAGUCUCCCCUUUUCUCUCGCCUUCGACUUCGGGGUUUCUCUUAAUCCAACAGAUCAUGCUCAUCGGAUCUGAUUUAUUAUUAUUUUUGUGAAAUCAUUGUCAUUAUGGUCCGCCAUGAGAUCAAUUGAAUAACACAAUCAUGUCGUUUGAACGAGGUAUUUUGGAUAUGUGAUAUUUUGAAAUAAAAUAUUGGGUUAUUUGAGAAUAUUAUAUUUUUGUUGUAUAAAAAAUUUAUAGUAUGAAAAUUAUUUUGUUUGACAAAUUCAAAACAAUGUGUUAAUUCACGUAUUUGAUGAAUAAAAAAGUCUAUUACUAUAUUACCCUCAAAAGCUCAAUUUCUAACGAAGAGAAUGACCGUAUUUGUGAAAUUAUUUUGUUAUGUGUUUUACUGUAAAAUGAUGUUUUAUGUUUUAACGUAUUUUGAAGUUGGAUUAUGUGGUAAUCUUAUAUUUAAAAUUUUAAUUAAUAAGUUAAGCGGGGUGGGGAUACCCACUGGUAUUCGAAACUCGCGAAUUUGGGAUGGGUAUGAAUAUUGAUAUUCGGAUGGAGACGAUGAUGGGGAUGAAUUUUAUGAAUAAGUAUGAAGAUGGGUGUAGGUACCCAGUCUGAAACCCGCCCCAUUGCCAAGUCUAAUUGUAAAAAGGAAGAACAAAUCCAUCGUAGUUUGGGAUUUAAAAGAUAAUAGAGUGUUAUACAAAUCCACUAAUUCAAAUACCACACCCCCAACUCAGGUAUUUCAAAUAUCACAAAAACCCACUAUUUCAAAUAUCUCAUGUCAAAAUACCACUGAUUUUAUUUCUGAUGCCAAACGUGGUAUUUUAACCCAAAACCACAUUAUGUGGUAUUUGGGCCAAAAUACCACAUCCAAAUACUCAAUCCAAACGACCUACACAUCUAUUAAAAUAUAGUAUCAUUACAGGCAAAAAAUGUGUUCGAGAUAUCAUUUGUAACAAUCCACGUAAAUAAAUUCUUGUUGAGCCAUAAAUUGAACUCAUUCAACAAACUGCACGAGUAAAUACAACUAGAUCACUGGGAACGACACACCAACCUAUUAAAUAAACCCGCUUCUUCUCAAAAGGGGGUCAAACACAGUGUUACAAGUCGGUAAACGUAAUGAAAACUAGAAGACUAUAAACGUAGAUUGCGCAACUCCCCUCAAGCCCCAGUUUUUGCAUUCAUGAGUUCUUGGACAAAAAAAACAAUGUAUCAGUGCUGAUCACUGAGUAAGAUACUAAACUAGAUCAUUAAGCAUUAAAGCCCACCAACUUAAGCAAACAUCUGCUAUUAUUGAGCACACCUGGUUAUGCAGACUGUACUAACUAUCUAGAUGAUACUAGUUAUAUUAACCGGAUAAUCCUGGUUAUACAAGCUAGGAGUACUAAUACUUGACAAUGGUCACAAGGACCCGUGUACCAAAUAAGUGAUCGACCAAGGGUACCGAAUAGUGAAUCAGACCUAAAAGGUUACACAAUCUAGGAUGGGCUACCUACAUUGAUCAAUGCAUGUUCAAACCUGAGCAAAUCACCGAAUCCGUCAAUAAUAACUGUCGAGAAAAACAAACGGUACUACCAAUGAAUAACCAAUGCAUAAUCUAGAUCAAAUAGCACAUAAUGCUCUCACUAGUAACAAUAGUGGUAUGUGUCGCAUUUUACUAAAUGGUCACAGGAAUUUUCUUAUCACAAACAAGGAUAACACGUACCAAUUAACAGAAACAUCUCAAAGAUGGACUGUAUGCUUCCUGGGGGCAGGUUUGCUAACAAGAAUACAACAUGACCAGUAACUAACUUACUUUAGUGUUUACACACAAAUAGUCAAAUACUAAAGAGUACUUCAAGCUGCAGAAGUGCCGCCGACCUUGAUAAACACUUCCCCUACAGGUACACACAGUCACAUUCACCCCUAAGCAUAACUAACGGUAGGAUCCAAAUGCCUCCGAUGUUAAGAUCUAGUAACGCAAGGACACGUCAAAAUGAUGCCCACAAGUAACCUUGGUGUAUCACAGGCCAAUUGUGGUGCCUGCUCAUUGGCCGCGACUCGCCCCAAAAGGUCUCGAGUGUAACUUCAACUGCAUAGCAAUGGAAGAGGCAAUAAAUUAUAAGAUAAAAGACUAAUUAAGAAAGUGAAAUACAGGAGGGAAGUUGGGAUUUUCAUCAGGAAGCAAACGAGUUUUUAGUGUUUUUUCUUGUUCACGUUCUUUAUUUCUAUGCAGAGUGGACAUAACCAGAUCAAAGAAACAAAAGGCAUAAGUAAUAUGCUCGUUAAGCUCAGUAAUAUCAAAGUAAACUAACGGUAUGCUCAUGUGUUCAUUCAAUUCCCAUAAGACGAUGAACAAAAACAUCACCUUGAAACCAACAAUCAUUCAGAAAAAAGAACAAGCCACUGAAGCCUACCAGCAGGGUUUCGACUCGGAUCACCCCGUUCCCAUGGUAUUUACCAGAUAUCCAUAGACUACGUAGGGUAUCAUUGUAUUUUCAGACAAUAGUUGAGCUUAUCUCAUUUUCAACUGAUUGCUUAAGAGGAUAUCUUGUUCUCAAACCAUCUUCCACAUAGAUGGCCUUAAAAUCCAGACAUUUCAAUGAGCACAUUUCACGAAAUACCUCGACUCCUAAAUCAAAUCUUCCAAACAAACUCUCAAAUGGAAAAAGGAAACAACACAAAAUGGAAAAACCCAGUAAAUAAAUAUGAAUCUGUCUGCCUAGGAAAUUGCUUCUAAACCCAUGUCUGGACUGUUGCAUGACACAAGUAAUGCUUCGGAGUCGGAGAGUCAAGAUUGUCAACUGCAGGAUAACUAACAAAACAAAUGCAAAUGGUUCACAGAAAGAACUCUACUUGAUGAAGGUAACCAGAAAAGUGUGGGGUGUGGCCGGAAAAUAUAUUGAUGCAAAUCAAAGCAGAGGCGAAAUACAAAUAUGGAGCAGAUGAAUUUCAGAUGUCACCAAUAAGGCAUCAAACAUAACAUACUGCAAGAUAACUAACCUUUAGUUCCGAAAGGAGAACCACCAUGGCCAGGACGCAAAAUGCAAAACAAUCAGCCAAAAUAGCCUUUACAACUUGACGAUCCACAUAAACACUUCUUCCUUCCCUGAGCACCGGAUACCCCGUAAUCGAAGGUCAACUCCGUCAUUGGCGGAAUAUGUCUCAUUGCAAAGAAAGCGAUAUUGAUAUGAGUUUCGUUGUUGUUCUCGUACAUAACUGCCUGCCAGAAUGUGUUG